AAGCGGAGGAAAAGAAACCAACAGGGAUUGCCUCAGUAACGGCGAGUGAAGCGGCAACAGCUCAAAUUUGAAAUCUGGCUCUUUCAGGGUCCGAGUUGUAAUUUGUAGAAGAUGCUUCGGGUGUGGCUCCGGUCUAAGUUCCUUGGAACAGGACGUCAUAGAGGGUGAGAAUCCCGUAUGUGACUGGCUGCCUUCGCCUAUGUGAAGCUCUUUCGACGAGUCGAGUUGUUUGGGAAUGCAGCUCAAAAUGGGUGGUAAAUUUCAUCUAAAGCUAAAUAUUGGCCAGAGACCGAUAGCGCACAAGUAGAGUGAUCGAAAGAUGAAAAGCACUUUGGAAAGAGAGUUAAACAGUACGUGAAAUUGUUGAAAGGGAAGCGCUUGCAACCAGACUUGUAUACGGUUAAUCAUCCGGUGUUCUCACUGGUGCACUUGACCGUGUUCAGGCCAGCAUCGGUUCAGGUGGUAGGAUAAAGGCCUUGGGAAUGUAGCUUCU
Molecule: ribosomal RNA, 493 nt
Filed under: Glutinomyces brunneus
Lineage: Eukaryota; Fungi; Ascomycota; Leotiomycetes; Helotiales; Hyphodiscaceae
Description: eukaryotic LSU rRNA
Rfam family: Eukaryotic large subunit ribosomal RNA
Source: RNAcentral